Long non-coding RNA from Pipistrellus kuhlii (Kuhl's pipistrelle), 294 nucleotides. RefSeq lists it as uncharacterized. The record is from RefSeq and is a predicted model, not a curated record. Lineage: Eukaryota; Metazoa; Chordata; Mammalia; Chiroptera; Vespertilionidae. The transcript is spliced from 2 exons.
GACCACACAGAGGUCUCAGAGGCCAGAAGGCAAGGCCGGCAGCCGCGAGAGGACAGAGGAGGGCAGGACUAGUCAGAAAGGGGCUGCCCUUGCUGUCUUUUAGGACUUGGCUGUGGUAUUCAGUGUAUGGGCUACAAUGGUGUGGUGAACGCUAAGAAGGGUGGAUGUGGAGAGGAGGGGAUCUAUGGGGAAAAAACACAUGCAAACAAAAGAAAGUAAAAAAAAAAAAAAACAUAAAAAAGCUAUAUGUUCAUUUGGGCACAAUUAGAUACAUAUAAUUGAUGUAGCAUAUUG